This is a long non-coding RNA of Trichosurus vulpecula (common brushtail), 568 nucleotides long. RefSeq lists it as uncharacterized. Lineage: Eukaryota; Metazoa; Chordata; Mammalia; Diprotodontia; Phalangeridae. The record is from RefSeq and is a predicted model, not a curated record. The transcript has 3 exons.
AUGUUAUGGCUGCUAAUGGCCGCCCUCGUGACGGUUAGAACUGAGCAGGCUGACUCAGCUGUGCUAUAGUGUUACUAGAUUGGUAGAGGGUGGCAGAGCUAGAUUUCAUCCAAAAAAACCCGACAAAGUCUCUCAUGACAGCCUUGUUUACAAGAUGGAGAAAUCCGGGCUAUUAAGGAUGAUGUCCAGCUGGAUGGAAUAAUAAUUGGCUGAAUGAUCAGAACUAAAGAACGUUAAUUAAUGGAUCAAUACGGACAUGGACAGAGGUCUUUAGAGAUUUUCCAUCUAAGAGAUUUGGAGGAGUCUUAAACAAGUAGUUAUCAAGGUUUCACAACUACCUAAAUUACAAGAACUUGAACUGAUUGUUAUAUUCAAGGGCUGUUUGUACAAAUAUUCAACACUGGAAGAACAAAAGGUCAAGAAUAUCAAAGGAACUAAUGGGAAAAAUUGUAAGAAGUUCAGCGGUGCCAGAUCUUAAACUAUACUAUAAGGCAAUACUUAUCAAAACUGUCUGGUAAUGGCUAAGAAAUAGAAUCAGUGGAACUGAGCAGACAUACAAUUUACAGCA